Sus scrofa (pig) is the source of this 615-nucleotide non-coding RNA. Lineage: Eukaryota; Metazoa; Chordata; Mammalia; Artiodactyla; Suidae. The record is from RefSeq and is a predicted model, not a curated record.
CAUAGUCUUUAGAAGAAACUUGGAAUGACCUCAGGAUGGUCUCCCUAAGUCCAGCUGCUUAACUCCAAACUCUAUUGAAUAACAGUUUGCGAAAUCAGCACAUCUCAGAGCUCUCCGCAAGAGCCAGCCUGCGGAUGUUGGAUAUACAGCCAGCAGCAGCUUCUUGGAGAUCCUGAUCCGGGGAUCCAACCAUAUCCAGUAGAAGCUGCCACACAUGCAGGAGGGGGGAAGAAAAGGGGAAUAAGAAAAAACAGAUAUUUGGAUGAAUGCUUUUUGUCCUUUAGAUUGUAACCUCUGGAAGAAUCUUACACUGAUGCACAGUAGAUGUCAAAUGUCAGGUAAAUGAAGCAGAACUUUUAAAAUCUGCCAAUUAUAAUUCUAACUAAUAGCUCUGAUGAAAGAUUUAAAAUGUAAUUUGAAUUGUGAACUUUCAUACAAUAGCAUUUGAGUACUAAGGUGGAUACUGUCGUAGAAUGAGGAUGCUUGAUAAGCAAAGAAAUAUUGUAAAGAAAAAUAUUGUGGGAGUUCUCAUUGUGGUGCAGCGGAAAUGAAUCAAUCCCUGGCUCAGUGGGUUAAAGAUCCAGCGUUGCCAUGAGCUGUGGUGUGGGUCAAAGA